GGGCUCAUGGUCUAGUGGCUAAUGGUUAAAUCCAUAAAUGACAGCACCCUUACAAGGUGUUAAUCCCCGGUUCGAGUCCGGGUGGGCCCA
This 90-nucleotide transfer RNA is filed under the name Candidatus Woesearchaeota archaeon. RNAcentral's name for it is "tRNA-Val". It matches the Rfam family "tRNA". Rfam says of the family: Transfer RNA (tRNA) molecules are approximately 80 nucleotides in length. The record is from RNAcentral. Lineage: Archaea; Nanobdellati; Candidatus Woesearchaeota.